GCAAACUUGGUCAUUUAGAGGAAGUACAAGUCGUAACAAGGUUUCCGUAGGUGAACCUGCGGAAGGAUCAUUAACAAAUCAAUUUGGUUGUAGAUGCUUGAUGUGUGUAUAGGAUUACUAUAUAUGCAUCUAUUAUCAUACACCUAACAUUUGUGCUCCAGGCAUUUCGUCUGGGUGCAAUUAUAUAUAUAUAUUCAUUAUUGUCAGUUGUUUUGUCUAUUUUAAAUUUUAUAAUCAUACUUUUAACAAUGGAUCUCUUGGCUCUUGCAUCGAUGAAGAACGCAGC
This 286-nucleotide unclassified non-coding RNA is filed under the name uncultured fungus. Its description in RNAcentral is "partial contains small subunit ribosomal RNA, internal transcribed spacer 1, and 5.8S ribosomal RNA". The stretch from base 1 to 73 matches the Rfam family "Eukaryotic small subunit ribosomal RNA", at positions 1759 to 1831 of the family's 1831-position model. Lineage: Eukaryota; Fungi. The record is from RNAcentral.